This 5627-nucleotide long non-coding RNA is filed under the name Gossypium barbadense (sea-island cotton). RNAcentral describes it as "long non-coding RNA (GBAR_LNC017725)". Lineage: Eukaryota; Viridiplantae; Streptophyta; Magnoliopsida; Malvales; Malvaceae. The record is from RNAcentral.
GGAAAGCAAUAAAUGAAAAGGAAGAAAAAGGAACCUAAAUAUCUACCCCAGUCAAUUCAAAAACGGCUGGAUACCAUUAAUUCUCUUGAUUUGUUAUUUCAAAAUUCAAUCCAUUCUGACGAUAGUAGUUUCCAAGGAUAAGACUUUACUUGAUAUCAUCUUUUGAAAUCAUUUCCCUCAAACACUCCUUCAGUCUGUAUUUUUUAGCCAUCUUCUCUGCAAAGCGAAAAUAUGGUGCUUUAGCUCUUCUCCCAUCAGGUAAAAGGUUUCUCCUCUAUCAAGAGCGUCUUUUGCUAGUCUAUAUGCAUGCGAGUUCCCUAAUCUGUGAAUAUGCUGAAAGAUAAUCUCUUGAAAACAAGGUUUCUUAUUCUGAAUGUCUUUGAUAAUAGCUUCAAUCACUGAUUUAUUUGUUAAAUUCAUUUGGUAUUUUUUGAUUAUUAUUUUGGAGUCCCUAUAAGUUUAACCGAUUGAAGUCCCAGUGAGAUCCCUAACUUUGUGCCUUCUAAACAUGCAUACGCUUUUGCUGCAAAUGGGGAGGAAAUAUUAUUGUGAAUGAUCGUCUUUAAGACCAGUAGUUCCCCCCUCAGAUCCUAACCCACCAGACCUGCUGCUGAUUUGAAGUUUCUACUAUCAAACGCUGCAUCGAAAUGGAUCGUUAUUCUCGGUAUGUCCUCCUGGAUUCUGUAAUUUCUGUUCAUAUUAGCAGGAAUCUUAAUUGCUUUCAUUCCUUCAUAUUUUGCCAUAUGCCUCUGUAUGUUUUGUGCUAAAACUACUCCUGUUGUACUUUUCCCCUCAUGUAUGAAUUGAUUUCUGGAAAACCAUAUUAACCAUAAAGCAUAACAGAAGAGUCGGCAUUGAGCGUCGUUACCUCUCUUGAAAAUCCAAGUUAGCCACUCCCUUAGAAUUUGAUUCAUAUUAUUCAUGACCCAGGACAAAUUUAAAAACUGCCAAACUUCUGUUGUUGUAGGACAUUCACGGAAGAUAUGAAGGCUAUCUUCUGCCCAGGAGCAGCAACGGGGACAUCUGUCGUUUGAAAUGACUUCUCUGUACCUGAGAUUAGCAAGAUUAGGAAUAAAAUCCCAGGAAAUUCGCCAAAUAGUGAUUACGAUUUUUGAAGGUAGCUGGAGGCUCCAUAAUUUCCUGUAAAAUUCUUUAGUUUCGGUCUAUAAUAAAUAAUUAGUAGGAUCCAGAAUAGCAUAUUGUAACUGCGUAUUGAAUACUCGCCGGAUAAUUCUCCUUUCCAGACUUGAGUAACCUCGUGAUCAGUCUCUGCAAGAGGGAUCUGUAGAAUUUUUUGAGCAAUUUCUGCUUGAAAGGUACUAUUAAUCAAAUCCGACCUCCAUUUUCUGUUUGUAUUAUCAAUAAGAUCCGAGACUAACUGUAAUUCCCUAUUGUUUGAUCUAUUAUGUCCAUCAACUGUAUCAAUCCCCCGUAUCCAGCUAUCUUCCCAAAUAGAAAUUUUGUCUCCUUUGCCCACUCUCCAGCACAUCCCUUUUUGGAGAAGUCCCUUUGCUGCCCAAAUACUCUUCAGGUAAGUGAAGGUAAAUUUCCCAAACUCUGCAUUUAGAAAACUUGAUUGCGGAUAGUACUUUGCUUUUAAAACUCUGGCUAAUAAAGAAUUUGGAUAAUUAAUAAGGCGCUAACCCUGUUUGGCUAAUAAUGCAAUAUUAAAUUGACCAAGAUUUCGAAAACCUAAACCACCAUUUUCUUUUAAGGAACAAAGGUUUUUCCAAAUGCACCAAUAAAUUCCCCUUUUUCCAUGUCCCUUUUGCCACCAGAACCUCGCAACGAUACUUUUGAGUUCAUCACAUAAAACUUUAAGUAAUAAAAAACAAGCCAUCGUGUAAUCACAUAAAACUUUAAGUAAUAAAAAACAAGCCAUCGUGUAAGUUGGUAUAGCUUGAAGAAUGACCUUUAUAAAUACUUCCUUUCCACCCUGAGAUAUAUUGUAACACCCCUUACCCGUAUUCGACACCGGAAUAGGGUAUGAGGCAUUACUAGAACACAUACACUUAUAAACAUGUUAAACUAAGUUAUAAAAUUUUAUUCAAAUUUAAACUCUUCACGUUAUAACUUCAAAAUACUAUAUUUGUAACAAAUAGGGCAUCUAAGACCUAAUACAUAUUCAUGCAAUCCAAUAGUUCAUUUCCAUUUCAUUUAAUUCACGAUUCUCAUGUUCACGAUUUAAUUCAAUUUCUCAAUCCCAAUAUACAUUUCAAUACCACAUUAAUCAUUUAAUUCACGUACAGUUCAAUUUCAUAAAGUUCAAUACUAAUACAUAUUUAUCGUUUAACUUAAUGUCCCCUUUUUACGUCAUUUUACACUUUAAGCAUGAACUUAGUAUUUCGUUUCUUUUCCACUCCCGUUUCCUAUGCAUAUCGCACAAGAUAUAAAUAUAUCAUUCAACCAUAGUCACAAGCUAAUGCAUUUAACCAUAGUAUUUUUCGAAUUGAUCACAUGAUAAGUCAUUUCAUAAGAAAUUGCAUAAUCUAAACCUUACCACUUUUUAGUGAGCGCUAGCAUACUUUCACUUAAAUACUUUCCAAUUCAAUGCAUUAUAUAAAAAAUCAUAAUACCAUUCAACCAAUAGCUUGGCACUUGCCUAAGCAUCAAGCAAGAAUACUAGUUAGUGUACUUGCACACAUUACAUAUAAACUCAUCAUGUAUAAUUUUCUUGCUUCAACAUAUUAAAGAUAAUCAUACAUUUACAUGUCAUGAUACAUAUCAUUCUCUUAUCAUUUCUUAAUAGGCAUAUAUCAUUCAUUUCAUUAUUUCGAUAUUUCAUGUACCAUCAUUUUCAUGAAUUUCGCGUACAUACCGGUAAUAGUUUAUUUUAAACUCAUGUUAUCUCACUUCAGAACUUUACCCGUUAUAUCAUUUAAAUAUCAAUGGUUACAUUUAUUUUAGAUCAAUACCAAUAAUAAUCUUUCAAUCUUUCAAUUCAACCACAUAAGUCUUUUACCAUUUCUUUCUGUAUCGAAGAACGACUUACGAAUAUGAGUACAUCGUUUUUAGAAGCUCGAAGGCCGAACUUAAGCUCAUGAGAGCUAAGCAGAUAGUAAACACGAAAGUCCGCAACAAAUGCUAAACCUCGGUUUACUUUGGUAAUUUGCCGUCAAUUCAUCCUUUACAUUUGUAAUGCCAUAACCCAGUUAUGGUCUUAUCCGUCAAUUCAUCCUUUGGUGCAGAACGAUUGUACUCAAUCCCGCGUUCAAUCCAAACUGGGUAUUAAAUUCGAUAAUAUAUUUCCAAUAACAAUUCAAUUCCAUGUUUUCUAUUACCCUUAUUAUUUACCAAAUUUAUCCCGUUGAAUUUCUCGGAAAUUCGAUAGAUUUUCAGAGGUACACUUUUAGUGUACAAAUUCGAGUCCGUCAAUUCAUAUUCAUGUGUGCACAUUUCCAUUUCAGAUAGCACACUCCCGCGAACCUCGUUCUUAUAGCGGGAUUACCAAUCCAGGCUAAAUCCCCUGUAAGAGAGCACAUUCCCACAAACCUUAUUCCUUACAGUGGGAUUACCAGUCCAGGCUAAAUCCCCUGUAAUAUAAACUCAUAGAGUAUUGUCGGGAUUACCAGUCCAGGCUAAAUCCCCUGCAACGACAAUUACUCUAAUGAGCUUGGAUCUGAAUUACCAGUCCAAGCUAAAUUCAAACCCUAAUUCGGAUUGCUCGUCCGGGCUAAAUCCAUUUCCACAUAUUCUUUGGGAGGGCUAUAUCAAGAUCACCUGUCCGGGCUAGAUCUUUUUCACACAUAUUCUUCGGGAGGGCUAUAUCAAGAUAGGAUCACCCGUUCGGGCUAGAUCUUUUUUACCGUCAAUUCCUUUUUAGAGAUCCAUCGAAUUUUCCUUCCAUUCAACCGGGAUUUCUUCCCCUUUUUAUCAAAUAUAUCAAUGUUUCAUCAAUUUUCAUACAAUCAACAUUCAAAUCAUAUUCACAUCAAUAACAAACAUUUCAAGCAUUUAAGAAUAUAAUUCGAGUUACACGAACUUACCUCGUUACUUGUUCGUGUUUACAAUUUCACUAAUCCGAUGUCUUUUCUUUUCCACGUUCAAGUCUCGUAUUUGAGUCAUUCGGAUCUUUCUAAACAAAUUUGAUCAUCGUUUUCAUUCAUUUCAUAUUCUGAUAUAUUCAAUUAAUGCUCUAGGCAAGAUUACCAUUUUGCCCUUAAACUUUUAAUUAAUGACGAUUUUAAUCCUUGGGCUCAGAAAAAUAAAUUAUUGUAAUUUUAGUCAUUGUUUUAAACCUAAUUAUUCCCAUAAAUAUUGAUAACAACCCAUGAAUUCUAUAAGAUAUCAGAAUUUUUCAUAAUUUUAACACUUUUCAAUUUAAUCCCUAAAACAUGUUUUCAUUCGAUCUUGUUCUAAAUUUCAUUCAAUUUUGUAAUUUAAAUAAAUAAACAAUCCAUUUCAUGCAAUUUGGUCAUUUUUGACAUUUUUUAUAAAUUACCCAUAAAGUUUUACUUUUAUUCAAUUUAGUCCCUGAAUCUAAAAUGUGUAAAUUAUCCAUGCUAACUGAAUAUUAAUAUAUUUUCCUCCUCCUCCUCUCCAUUCCACAUCCUUAAUUUAUAUAACAUGUUUAUAAAUAACAUUGUCUAUGAUUUCACAAUUUACUUGUAAAUUUAUUCAAAGCUGUCCAUUUGAGUCAUAGUUGUAAUACCCAAUUUUAGCACGGGCUCACAUAUGGAAACAUAAUUUUUGAGGAUAUGCAAUCUUAGAUAUGAUAUGCAAUCCUAGAUAUGAUAUGCAAUCUUAGAUAUGAUAUAUGCAAUCUUAGAUAUGAUAUGUAAUCUUAGAAGAUAUGAUUUUGUAAUCUUAGAAAUUUAAUUUGUAGAUACCUUUUAAUCUUAGUCGUUGAUGUAAUUGAUCUGUACCGUUGGAUUUGGGGAGUCUCAACUAUAAAUAGAGGCCUCUCCCUUCAAAUUUAAAGAGGGGGGAGAAAAAGAGGAGGAAUAAAAAAAGAACGAUUGGCAGUUUUUUAAAGGUGGUUUACUAUUUUUUUCUUUCAAUUAUUUUUUUACUUAUUUACAAUUUUAAAAAAGGGAGAAGGUGAUACCACUGCGAAUUUUAUUUAUUUAUUUUAUUUAGCCCCUCCGCCUUUUAAUGUUUUUGUAAUUAAUUUUUCUUUAUUUUUUUAAUUUACCCUUUUAUUUAUUUUAAAUUCUAAUUUAAUCCUUUUGAACGACACCGUUUUAGAGGAGAAGGGAAAAUUUCCCUUCCAGCCCCUCUAUGUAAUUUGCGCGUUCAAAUUAGUCCUUUUACUUUUAUUUAUUUGCAGAUUUACCCCAAAAUUUUAAAUUGUGAUUCAAUUUAGUUUUUUAUGUUCUUUUUAUUUAUUUUAUUAAUUAAUAGUGUAAUUAUUAUUUUUAUUCUAUUUUUUAUCUAUAUAUAUUUCUUUUAUAUGUACACAUAUAUAUAUUUUAAACGAAUAUUUUUCUAUAUUCUUUUUAAUGAAUAUUUUCAUAUUUAUAUGUAUAUAUUUACAUUUUUUAAAGUAAUUAAAUACUCACCCUUUUUUUUCUUUUUUAAAAUAUACUUAUUUUUAUUAUUUUAUAUAUGUACGUAUAAUUAUAUUUUUUUUCUUUAUUUUCAUAAGUAUAUUAUGUAUUGUAUUUAUAUAUAAAUUCUAUGACCUA